AUUUAAAUAGUUUAAUAAAAAUAUUGAUUUGUGGAAUCAGUGAUAUAUAAAUAUAUAUAUAUUUUAAAUA
Molecule: transfer RNA, 70 nt
Filed under: Dichotomius schiffleri
Lineage: Eukaryota; Metazoa; Arthropoda; Insecta; Coleoptera; Scarabaeidae
Description: tRNA-His
Source: RNAcentral